This 248-nucleotide non-coding RNA is filed under the name Bacillus sp. (in: firmicutes). RNAcentral's name for it is "Bacillus sp. T-box sequence". It matches the Rfam family "T-box leader". Rfam says of the family: Uncharged tRNA acts as the effector for transcription antitermination of genes in the T-box leader family. T-boxes are found upstream of many aminoacyl-tRNA synthetase genes and some amino acid biosynthetic genes usually in Gram-positive bacteria. The anticodon of a specific tRNA base pairs to a specifier sequence within the T-box motif, and the NCCA acceptor tail of the tRNA base pairs to a conserved bulge in the T-box antiterminator hairpin. The record is from RNAcentral. Lineage: Bacteria; Bacillati; Bacillota; Bacilli; Caryophanales; Bacillaceae.
UUAAAGGCAAUGAUGAGGAAAAAGUGGAUGAAGCCCUGCAUUUACAGAGAGCCGGAACUGCUGGAAACCGGCAAUGCAGUCAUUCGCGACAUCACCUUAGAGCCGGAAUCUUGAAAGCGAAAGCGAUUAUGGAUUCACGGGGAUUACCCAAAGUUCCCGUUAUCAAUGAACAGCUUACCUGCUGUUCAUGAGUCAGUGAUUGUCACUGUAAAGUAGGGUGGUACCAUGAAAGUUUUUUCAUCCCUGCA